CAGCACCUCAAGUGGUCAGGAUGAUUAUUGGGCCUAAAGCAUCCGUAGCCGGCGCUGUAAGUUUUCGGUUAAAUCUGUACGCUCAACGUACAGGCUGCCGGGAAUACUGCAGCGCUAGGGAGUGGGAGAGGUAGACGGUACUCGGUAGGAAGGGGUAAAAUCCUUUGAUCUAUUGAUGACCGCCUGUGGCGAAGGCGGUCUACCAGAACACGUCCGACGGUGAGGGAUGAAAGCUGGGGGAGCAAACCGGAUUAGAGACCCGAGUAGUCC
RNAcentral lists this ribosomal RNA (270 nucleotides) under uncultured archaeon. RNAcentral's name for it is "partial 16S ribosomal RNA". It matches the Rfam family "Archaeal small subunit ribosomal RNA", at positions 477 to 747 of the family's 1478-position model. The record is from RNAcentral.